UACGUAGGGGGCAAGCGUUGUCCGGAUUUAUUGGGCGUAAAGAGCGUGUAGGCGGCUAGGUAGGUCCGUUGUGAAAACUCGAGGCUCAACCUCGAGACGCCGGUGGAAACCAUCUAGCUAGAGUCCGGAAGAGGAGAGUGGAAUUCCUGGUGUAGCGGUGAAAUGCGCAGAUAUCAGGAAGAACACCUAUGGCGAAGGCAGCACUCUGGGACGGUACUGACGCUGAGACGCGAAAGCGUGGGGAGCGAACAGG
RNAcentral lists this ribosomal RNA (253 nucleotides) under uncultured bacterium. RNAcentral's name for it is "partial 16S ribosomal RNA". It matches the Rfam family "Bacterial small subunit ribosomal RNA", at positions 524 to 776 of the family's 1533-position model. The record is from RNAcentral.